GCUGAGACUUCUCUCCUCAGCUGGUUAGAGCAUGGUGCUGAUAAUGCCAAGGUUGCAGGUUCGAUCCCUGUAUGGGACAGCU
Molecule: non-coding RNA, 82 nt
Organism: Podarcis lilfordi (Lilford's wall lizard)
Lineage: Eukaryota; Metazoa; Chordata; Lepidosauria; Squamata; Lacertidae
Source: the annotation of a GenBank genome assembly